UACGGAGGGGGCUAGCGUUGUUCGGGAUUACUGGGCGUAAAGCGCACGUAGGCGGCUUUGUAAGUUAGAGGUGAAAGCCCGGGGCUCAACUCCGGAACUGCCUUUAAGACUGCAUCGCUUGAAUCCGGGAGAGGUGAGUGGAAUUCCGAGUGUAGAGGUGAAAUUCGUAGAUAUUCGGAAGAACACCAGUGGCGAAGGCGGCUCACUGGACCGGUAUUGACGCUGAGGUGCGAAAGCGUGGGGAGCAAACAGG
RNAcentral lists this ribosomal RNA (253 nucleotides) under uncultured bacterium. RNAcentral's name for it is "partial 16S ribosomal RNA". It matches the Rfam family "Bacterial small subunit ribosomal RNA", at positions 524 to 776 of the family's 1533-position model. The record is from RNAcentral.